GCUGAUGUGGCUCAGUUGGUAGAGCAGUUGAUUCGUAAUCAACAGGUCACGGGUUCAAGUCCCGUCAUCAGCUCCA
This 76-nucleotide transfer RNA is filed under the name Clostridia bacterium. Its description in RNAcentral is "tRNA-Thr". It matches the Rfam family "tRNA". Rfam says of the family: Transfer RNA (tRNA) molecules are approximately 80 nucleotides in length. Lineage: Bacteria; Bacillati; Bacillota; Clostridia. The record is from RNAcentral.